RNAcentral lists this non-coding RNA (959 nucleotides) under Stegodyphus mimosarum. RNAcentral describes it as "Eukaryotic small subunit ribosomal RNA". It matches the Rfam family "Eukaryotic small subunit ribosomal RNA", at positions 1 to 921 of the family's 1831-position model. The record is from Rfam by way of RNAcentral. Lineage: Eukaryota; Metazoa; Arthropoda; Arachnida; Araneae; Eresidae.
GUUAUUACUGGAGAUAUUAUCAUUAAUAACCAACAACUUUAAGUACAUGUCGAAUUAAGGCGAAACCGCGAAUGACCCAUUAAAUCAGUUUAUGGUUCCUUACCAGUUGGAUAACUGUGGCAAUUCGAGAGCUAAUAUAUGCAGCAGAGCUUCGACCCUCUGGGGACGAGCACUUUUAUUAGACCAAAAUCAAUCGAACCUUGUGUCCGUUUUAUGUGGUGACUCUGUAUAACUUUGGGCUGAUUGCACAGGCUCGUCCAGGCAAUGCAUCUUUCAAGUUAUCAAGUAUCUUCAAGUUCUUAUCAACUGUCGAUAGUACUUUAUGAGCUUACCAUCAUUGUAACAGGUGACGGGGAAUCAGGGUUCGAUCACGGAGAAGAAGCUUGAGAAAUGGCUACCAUAUCCAAGGAAGGCAGCAGGCAUGCAAAUUACCCACUACCAGAAUGGGGAGGUAGUGAUGAAAAAUAUAGGACUUCUUUGAGACUCCAUAACUGGAAUGAGUAUACUCUAAAUCCUUUAAUGAAGAUCAAUUGGAGGGCAAGUCUGGUGCCAGCAGCCACAGUAAUUCCAGCUCCAAUAGCGUAUAUUAAAGUUUUUGCGGUUAAAAAGCUCGUAGUUGGAUCUCAGUUCCAGAUGGGUGGCCCACCUACCGGUGAUUACUGCCUAUUCUGAACAGCCAGCCAGUUUCCUUUGACGAUCUUCAUUGGUUGUCUUGGGUGAGUGGCAAGUUUACUUUGAAAAAAUGAGAGUGCUCAAAGCAGGCAUGACACCUGAAUAAUGGUGCAUGGAAUAGGACCUCGGUUCUAUUUUGUUGGUUUUCGGAAUACGAGGUAAUGAUUAAGAGGGACAGCUGGGGGCAUUUGUAUUACGACGCUAGAGGUCAGGAGCUGAGUUGAUCGCAGACAUGUUGUGGAAGUUUUUAAUGUCAACUUCACUUUGAAAAGAUGAGGGGGGCCCUA